GACGGCGGACGGGUGGAUAACACGUGGGCAACCUGACCUGANNAGACUGGGAUAACUUCGGGAAACCGGAGCUAAUACCGGAUGACAUAAAGGAACUCCUGUUCCUUUAUUGAAAGAUGGCUNCGGCUAUCACUUAUAGAUGGGCCCGCGGCGCAUUAGCUAGUUGGUGAGGUAACGGCUCACCAAGGCGACGAUGCGUAGCCGACCUGAGAGGGUGAUCGGCCACACUGGGACUGAGACACGGCCCAGACUCCUACGGGAGGCAGCAGUAGGGAAUCUUCCGCAAUGGACGAAAGUCUGACGGAGCAACGCCGCGUGAACGAUGAAGGCCUUCGGGUCGUAAAGUUCUGUUGUUAGGGAAGAACAAGUGCUAGUUAAAUAAGCUGGGCACCUUGACGGUACCUAACCAGAAAGCCACGGCUAACUACGUGCCANGCAGCCGCGGUAAUACGUAGGUGGCNAGCGUUGUCCGGAAUUAUGGGGCGUNAAGCGCGCGCAGGCGGUUUCU
This 508-nucleotide ribosomal RNA is filed under the name uncultured bacterium. Its description in RNAcentral is "bacterial SSU rRNA". It matches the Rfam family "Bacterial small subunit ribosomal RNA", at positions 94 to 583 of the family's 1533-position model. The record is from RNAcentral.